Molecule: transfer RNA, 66 nt
Filed under: Bulinus globosus
Lineage: Eukaryota; Metazoa; Mollusca; Gastropoda; Planorbidae
Description: tRNA-Cys
Source: RNAcentral
GUAUAAUUAGUUUAUCUUAAAACAUUUAGUUGCAAGCUAAAAAAAACAAAUAACAUGUAUUAUGUU